This 161-nucleotide ribosomal RNA is filed under the name Stewartia ovata var. grandiflora. RNAcentral describes it as "5.8S ribosomal RNA". It matches the Rfam family "5.8S ribosomal RNA". From Rfam's summary of the family: 5.8S ribosomal RNA (5.8S rRNA) is a component of the large subunit of the eukaryotic ribosome. It is transcribed by RNA polymerase I as part of the 45S precursor that also contains 18S and 28S rRNA. Lineage: Eukaryota; Viridiplantae; Streptophyta; Magnoliopsida; Ericales; Theaceae. The record is from RNAcentral.
AAACGACUCUCGGCAACGGAUAUCUCGGCUCUCGCAUCGAUGAAGAACGUAGCGAAAUGCGAUACUUGGUGUGAAUUGCAGAAUCCCGUGAACCAUCGAGUCUUUGAACGCAAGUUGCGCCCGAAGNCCAUUAGGUUGAGGGCACGUCUGCCUGGGCGUCU